RNAcentral lists this ribosomal RNA (253 nucleotides) under uncultured bacterium. RNAcentral describes it as "partial 16S ribosomal RNA". It matches the Rfam family "Bacterial small subunit ribosomal RNA", at positions 524 to 776 of the family's 1533-position model. The record is from RNAcentral.
GACAGAGGAGGCAAGCGUUGUCCGGCCUUACUGGGCGUAAAGGGCGCGGAGGCGGCCGGCGGCGUCGGCGCUCAAAGCGCCCCGCUUAACGGGGCGAGGGGUGCCGAUACGGGCAGACUUGAGGCGAGCAGAGGGUGGUGGAAUUCCGGGUGGAGCGGUGAAAUGCGUAGAGAUCCGGAGGAACGCCGGUGGGGAAGCCGGCCACCUGGGCUCGUCCUGACGCUGCGGCGCGACCGCGUGGGGAGCAAACCGG